GUGAAUCAUCAAAUUUUUGAACGCAAAUUGCACUCUCUUCGGAGAGUAUGCCUGUUUGAGGGUCAGCCUAUAAAAAAUCGACAUCGUCGCUGUUUCGCGGUGACAUUCGUCGGAAAUUGGGUCAUCUUAAACCUUUGGGAUUUAAGCGACUUAAAAUUUUCUUUUUGGUUCCUUGAACGUUUCUAAGAUUUAUUUCUUUACCCGUUUAAGGUAUCGAUUUUUAUUAGCCUUGACCUCAUUAUUGGAUCGCUCCAUUAAUCUUCA
Molecule: unclassified non-coding RNA, 264 nt
Filed under: Glomus sp.
Lineage: Eukaryota; Fungi; Glomeromycota; Glomeromycetes; Glomerales; Glomeraceae
Description: partial contains 5.8S ribosomal RNA and internal transcribed spacer 2
Rfam family: 5.8S ribosomal RNA (bases 1-65)
Source: RNAcentral